RNAcentral lists this ribosomal RNA (911 nucleotides) under Spegazzinia intermedia. RNAcentral's name for it is "LSU rRNA". It matches the Rfam family "Eukaryotic large subunit ribosomal RNA", at positions 37 to 961 of the family's 3401-position model. The record is from RNAcentral. Lineage: Eukaryota; Fungi; Ascomycota; Dothideomycetes; Pleosporales; Didymosphaeriaceae.
UGCAUAUCAAUAAGCGGAGGAAAAGAAACCAACAGGGAUUGCCCUAGUAACGGCGAAGUGAAGCGGCAACAGCUCAAAUUUGAAAUCUGGCCCCCUUUGGGGGUCCGAGUUUGUAAUUUGCAGAGGGUGCUUUGGCUAUGGCGGCGGUCUAAGUUCCUUGGAACAGGACAUCGCAGAGGGUGAGAAUCCCGUACGUGGGCGCUCGCCGUAGCCGUGUAAAGCCCCUUCGACGAGUCGAGUUGUUUGGGAAUGCAGCUCUAAAUGGGAGGUAAAUUUCUUCUAAAGCUAAAUACCGGCCAGAGACCGAUAGCGCACAAGUAGAGUGAUCGAAAGAUGAAAAGUACUUUGGAAAGAGAGUAAAAUAGCACGUGAAAUUGUUGUAGAGGAAGCGCUUGCAGCCAGACUUCCCCGUAGUUGCUCACCCGGGCUCUUGCCCGGGGCACUCUUCUGCGGGGAGGCCAGCAUCAGUUUGGGCGGUCGGAUAAAGGCCCCUGUCACGUACCUCCCUUCGGGGAGGCCUUACAGGGGGGGCGUAAUGCGACCAGCCCGGACUGAGGUCCGCGCAUCUGCUAGGAUGCUGGCGUAAUGGCUGUAAGCGGCCCGUCUUGAAACACGGACCAAGGAGUCUAACAUCUAUGCGAGUGUUUGGGUGUCAAGCCCGGGCGCGCAAUGAAAGUGAACGGAGGUGGGAACCCUCACGGGUGCACCAUCGACCGAUCCUGAUGUCUUCGGAUGGAUUUGAGUAAGAGCAUAGCUGUUGGGACCCGAAAGAUGGUGAACUAUGCUUGAAUAGGGUGAAGCCAGAGGAAACUCUGGUGGAGGCUCGCAGCGGGUUCUGACGUGCAAAUCGAUCGUCAAAUUUGGGCAUAGGGGCGAAAGACUAAUCGAACUAUCUAGUAGCUGGGUCUGCA